AGGAUGAUCCUUUUUAAAGUUGGUGAACCACUAGCCCAACAUCGCCAUGAGGGGAAAUAGAGGCAGACGAGUGUCCCCUAAGAUAGUGGGCUGUGUCAGCCCCAACCAUCAAAGGAGACCUUUGUGCACUGGGUUUGCUGUAAAUGACAGAAGCCACUUCAAAAGCCUCUUUGAAGCUGUUCAGUAAAAUGCUCAGAGAACACCUGGGCACACUCAAGCAAGAUAAACCACACAGACACCUCGCAGACAGACCUCCCAGGACAGAGGGACAGCAACAAGACUCCAAAAGCAACUUGAAGUUUUGGUAGCAUGAUCAUCCACAGAGUGAAGUUCAACAUUCAGUCAAGAAGAAUCAUUCUGAUUACUUAAUUGGAAGAUCUGAUACUUCUGAAAUGAAACAUUUCACAAACUCUACUGAGAUAAGAAAUACUUUUGAUUUAUUUUUUAAAAAAUGAAUCAUUGGUUAUGGAAAGAACUAUAUGGUCUUGCAGAGAGGACAAAGUUAAAGAUGUUUUGCAAGCUUAACACAACCAAAUCUGAUUUGAGAAUUAUUCUGAGGCUUGCAGCUCUAUGUAUCAAAACAUAGAUACAUAUAUACGCAGGUAUAUAUGUAUGCAAAAAUGCUUAUUUACUGUGGAAAUGACAGUUUAAGUCACUCUGUAUUUCUUUUUUCCAUGAGUCUAAUAUUGAAUUAUGAUGAUUCAAAGGCUCUCAGAGUGUUGUGCUAACAUUGUAAAUGGCUAAACAUCCAAAAAAGAGAACAAUUAAAACACAACGCACACACAAUUUUCUUAAAGUUGUGGAAAAUUAGGUAGGCACAGUUGAUUGUUUUGAGCUGGUAGGAAAACCUGGGCAGCUAGCAGAGGUCUGGACAACCACGGAAAGCCCACAGCAAGGACCACACCGUGAGCAGCCACCAGAGAUUUGGGAUGGUAGACUUACCAAGAGUGUCCACUGGCGGGGGGGCACACGGUGAGAAAGUGCAGGAUACACAAUUGACACAAAAAGGAAAAUAAUAAAGUCAAACUGGUAUUCAAGCA
Molecule: non-coding RNA, 1040 nt
Filed under: Pongo abelii (Sumatran orangutan)
Lineage: Eukaryota; Metazoa; Chordata; Mammalia; Primates; Hominidae
Source: RNAcentral